CAUCAGGAGCCGCAAUAAUCACAGACACAGAGUGAAGUACAGAAGGGAAAUGAACACCAGCUCUCCUGUUUUUUCCCCUCUUGCUUGUACAUCAAGUAUUUAGAUUGUUUGGACAUAAAACCCAUGCUGAAGGAAAGGAAAAACUGGAAAUGGGAUGAAACACACAGGAAUUUGUUCAGGGUAGAUUAUGCCAAAUUAACAUAGUGGCUUUUUCUUUUUCCUGUAAGAUAACUGACCUUUUCAGACAAGUGGUGGUCCCUCCCCUCCCCUCACAGGCUGUUACAGCAGUAGCUGUGGCUCAGGCCUUUGCUGACAUGUUACCUUCCCCCUCAGGUGCCAUGAAUGAGGCAGAAACUCCAGUCAGGGCAGUGCUGCCUGGGAAUAACCUGUGGUGGUGAAUUCCUUCGAGGUGGUCCUUUCUCAACACUGCUCUUCAAGAAUAUGAUUUGCUGGGGUAAGAGACUUUCAGAUGCCAUCUCUGAUCCACUUCACCUGGUAGGCUCCUUAUUGGUAGUUACCUGUGAGCAACUCAGCCCUCAUCAUAUUCUCUGGAGUCCCCAUAUCCCCCUGAAGCAGUGUCAAACUUUGUCCAGAGCCUGAAUAGCAGCUGGAGCCAUCCUGCCUUGUAACAUGCAGGGGCUGACUCACUGCAAGCUUCAUGCACUGGUGGGAUGAUGGCCCUUCGAGUCAGUGUGUGCUUCCACACAGGACGUGUAGUCACUAUGAUUGCAUAGCUCAAGUGGGAAGGGUAACUCCCAAACCAUCCUCUUCUUCAUCCUUCUAGGUGUCUAUAUAGCAAAAUAUUUGGCACACUGGCCGUUCUUCCAAUCUUUCUGAAUUCUUCAUAUCACGUUUGCUCCUGAGUCACCUCUAAUCGACGCCACUCUUCAAAUGUUUACAACGGCUCUGGCGGCUGUGCUGAUACAGCGGAGAGCAGCAGUAACCAAAUGGAAAGAUUAAAUUCCUCAUGUGAAGGGUGAAGAAAUACCCUUACACAAGGCUGCCCCCGAAUCUGGUCUCCCUAUAAGUACAUCUCCCAUUUCCAGACACCAGAGGAGCACAGAGUUCAGCACUGACCACAGCUCAGCAUCUCUGUGCAGCUCCCUUUGACAUUAACAAGGGAUGCUACUGGGACAAAGUGAUUUUUCUAGGUACCUGUCACAUCCUGCAGACAUACAAAAAUCAUAAUGGUCUAGAUGUCAGAAGUAGAAAGGAGUUCAAUUGGUGAUCAGACAGCUUGGCAAAACGUGUUGACUUACAGGUUUGAAAUGUAGAGUGGAGGAUCCAGGCUCCAUCUGAGGACAUCUGGGGAGAUGCAGGGAAGGGAAUGGCACUGUUCACUUCUUGCCUUGGUGCCUGUGUGCCUUUUACUCUUUCCCUCAACAACAUCAGUCCUUGCCUUUGUGUAAGUCCUUGCCUCAGUGUUGCUUGCUUGUGGUAUGAAGAGCUUGGGAGAAGCAAUACAAACCCUGCUGUUGUGUCAGGCUUAAUGACCACUUACUGGCCCAUGCACUGUUGAGCAAAGAGACUCCCUCUUAAUGAAGGUCAGAGUAAAUAACAGUGUACAAAUGAUGUUUAAUGGCUCAAAGUGAUGCUGAGUCCUUUAAGAUCAAGGUAAAUGGUCUCUAAUUACACUUGGAUUUCUUCUUCCUCAAAUGAGAUCAACCAGUACACCAAGGAUCAAGUCCUUUCAGCCAGGGAAGAUAUUUAUAAGUAAAAAGAUACAUCAUUUUUAUUAAAAAUGAAAAAAAAAAACACUUUGUAAUCUCUGUGAAAUAGAGGUUACAACGAAUGGCUGUGGGGAUAAAUAAAUAGAGAUCAGUAAUACGCA
This is a long non-coding RNA of Coturnix japonica (Japanese quail), 1831 nucleotides long. The record is from Ensembl. NCBI's taxonomy places the organism in Eukaryota, Metazoa, Chordata, Aves, Galliformes, Phasianidae.